AGUUCCUGUUGUGUCGGGGUGGAACCUGGUGAACAGUCACAGACCUUUCAUAGGCUGUUCCUGCCGUCAGUCAUGAACGGGCUCCUCUCAUUGGCCAGCCAGCUGAUGAGGCGGGCAGAGUGUGUGUCUCUCUUUAGGAAGGUGAUGGAUUCAGUCGGCUGGUUGCUCAGAUCUCAGACUCAGCUGACGACUCAGGUUCUGAGCUGCGUCCACUACGAGCAGAUCCAGAUGUGUGAUGAUGUCACUGUGUCACUGCUCUGUGUCCAGAUGUGGAUUCAGAUCUGCUCAGCCAACAGG
Molecule: long non-coding RNA, 297 nt
Organism: Etheostoma cragini (Arkansas darter)
Lineage: Eukaryota; Metazoa; Chordata; Actinopteri; Perciformes; Percidae
Exons: 3
Source: RefSeq, a predicted model, not a curated record